RNAcentral lists this ribosomal RNA (285 nucleotides) under Triticum aestivum (bread wheat). Its description in RNAcentral is "partial small subunit ribosomal RNA". Lineage: Eukaryota; Viridiplantae; Streptophyta; Magnoliopsida; Poales; Poaceae. The record is from RNAcentral.
AUGGCCCGUUACUGGUGGAGUAGCUCACUUGAUCGUCGGUCUUUACAUUGGACGGAUUGGGACACGCUUGCUUCUCCGAAAGUGAAAGGAGGGAUGGGUUUUAGAGAUCUACAAAUAUUCAAUCUGGCCCUACUAGGAAAACAUGGCUGGAGACUCGUCACGAGCCCGGAGUCGCUCUGUGCACGGGUGCUCAAAGGGAAGUACUUCCCGACGACGACUUUCCUCGAAGCUUCUUCACCAUCCCACGCGUCCUCCACUUGGCGUGCAAUCUUGGCGGGAAAGGAA